Molecule: ribosomal RNA, 567 nt
Filed under: Triticum aestivum (bread wheat)
Lineage: Eukaryota; Viridiplantae; Streptophyta; Magnoliopsida; Poales; Poaceae
Description: partial small subunit ribosomal RNA
Source: RNAcentral
AUGAGUGUCUUAUCAUGGAACUGCCGAGGGCUUGGGAACCCUUGGACAGUUCGAGAGCUUCGCAAAGUUGUGAAGCAAGAAGGCCCCGCCCUUGUGUUUGUCAUGGAAACAAAAAUCAAGGGCAAGUGUGUGGAGGAUCUAAAAUUCAGUUUAGGUUUUUCUGGUUAUUUUGCUGUCGAUAGUGACGGGCUUAGUGGAGGCAUUGGUUUUUUUUGGUCAAGAGAUACUGAUGUUUCGGUACAAAAGUACAGUCGAUCCCAUAUCGAUGUAAAAGUCAAUAAAGAUAAUAAAAGUUGGCGUUUUACGGGUUUUUACGAAGAAUCUCGGGUGGAAAAUAGACACCACAGUUGGCAGUUCUUGCGUACUUUAUUUGCUGUCCACCAUGAAGCAUGGAUUUGCAUGGGUGAUUUCAAUGAAACUCUUCAUGAGGACGAGCACUUUGGAGCCAAUGCUCGACCGGAGAGCCAAAUGCGUGCAUUCCGGGAAGCAGGGCAAACUGUGCACUCCAGGAUGUGGGGUGGCGUGGUGUCCCUUUUACAUGGGAUAACAGGCAACAAGGGGAGAUGA